This 411-nucleotide ribosomal RNA is filed under the name uncultured prokaryote. RNAcentral's name for it is "bacterial SSU rRNA". It matches the Rfam family "Bacterial small subunit ribosomal RNA", at positions 505 to 918 of the family's 1533-position model. The record is from RNAcentral.
GUGUCAGCCGCCGCGGUAAGACGAAGGAUGCAAGCGUUAUCCGGAUUCAUUGGGUUUAAAGGGUGCGUAGGCGGCCCUGUAAGUCAGUGGUGAAAUCCCUCCGCUUAACGGAGGAACUGCCAUUGAUACUGCAGGGCUUGAGUACAGAUGAUGUUGGCGGAAUAUGACAUGUAGCGGUGAAAUGCAUAGAUAUGUCAUAGAACACCGAUUGCGAAGGCAGCUGACAAAACUGUAACUGACGCUGAGGCACGAAAGUGUGGGGAUCAAACAGGAUUAGAUACCCUGGUAGUCCACACUGUAAACUAUGAUCACUCGCUGUGUGCGAUAUACAGUACGCGGCUAAGCGAAAGCGUUAAGUGAUCCACCUGGGGAGUACGCCGGCAACGGUGAAACUCAAAUGAAUUGACGGGG